Dipodomys spectabilis (banner-tailed kangaroo rat) is the source of this 1168-nucleotide long non-coding RNA. RefSeq lists it as uncharacterized. The transcript is spliced from 5 exons. NCBI's taxonomy places the organism in Eukaryota, Metazoa, Chordata, Mammalia, Rodentia, Heteromyidae. The record is from RefSeq and is a predicted model, not a curated record.
GGGAGGAAGAGCGGUGGCCCGGGAAGAAGGAGGGAAGGAGAAGGCAGAGCCGUGAAACGCAGCGAGACGAGGACCGGCCGGCUGCCCUUCCCGGAGGCUUCGGGCGAGCUGGGGUUGAGACCGGCAGUGUGGGACCUCGCGGGCCCGCGUCCGCCCCAGCCCCGCGGCGCAGGCCUCCGCCUCGGCCGCCUCCGCCGCCUGGGUCUCGGGGCUGGGACCCCGCGCCCGGUGAGCCCACGACGGGCUGGGCUCAGACCUCAGUGCUGUCCCGUUGCUGAGGGAAGUAGCAGAGUGUGGAGACACUUAAACAUACCAGAGUCUCCCUAGUUCCCCUGUAAAAAAUGGACAUAAAGCAGUAUGGCAGAAGUUGUCUAAAGGACUUCCUGCUAGGACUUGAGCGUGGUUAAUGAGAUUCUUCGUGAGGAAAAACCCAAACACCAAAGAUCUGUCUUUUGCUGUGGAAAGCAACAGGAGCCAUUUGGUCUGGACGCAAUGUCAGACUUCAGUCAGGCAACAGGACCAUACAAAACUACCCAUAGAGGCAGAGGGUCGUGAGCAGCCAGUGAGAAACAUACUCAAAGUGCAUGUGUCUGUCCAUCUGUGGGUCAGACAUUGCACAGCCCUGAACCAGAGAGACGUCCCUUGAGUUUACCUACCACGAGCUCAGACUACCAGACUACCACCGAAGACUUCAUCUAACUGAGGAGUUUGAAGACCAUCACAUCUGGCUACAUUAACAGAGUAACAAUGUGGACAUUGCCUGCUCUAUUAGAAGAGGAAGCAGAGGAGGGGAAGGAAGGACAAAAACAACUUGGAGACAAUCUACUUUCCAUUUAACUGAUAUCCCCGAUAUCCCCGCCCUUCCCCCCCCCCCCACUUACCCCCAUUGAACUCACUUAGAGAUAGAGAAACCUGAAGGCCCAGCCCAAUUGGAGUAUCUUCCUAAUUAGGGUGAAAAUGGGCACAAUGAACCAUGAGGGGACUGAGGGGGCUUAUAUGGCAUCCAUGAAAGAAAAUCAACAAAUACAAAUUUCACAAAAUGAAAAUUAGCUUUGUAAAGUCUAGGUUGUGCUGGAUUGCUGGACUACUCUGCAAUUUUUAUGAACCUGACCUUUUAUCUCAGAUGAGUGUGUGUGUGUGUGUGUGUCUGUGUCUGUGUCUGUGUCUG